AAUCAACGCUGGCGGCGUGCCUCAGACAUGCAAGUCGAACGCGAAAGUCUCCUUCGGGAGGCAAGUAGAGUGGCGCACGGGUGAGUAACACGUAGGUAAUCUACCUUUGGAUGGGGAAUAACAACCGGAAACGGUUGCUAAUACCGCAUAAUGCAGCGGCACCUAAUGGUGACAGUUGUUAAAGCGGGGGAGUCGAAAGACCUCGCGCCUGAAGAGGAGCCUGCGGCGGAUUAGCUAGUUGGUAAGGUAAUGGCUUACCAAGGCUACGAUCCGUAACCGGCCUGAGAGGGCGGUCGGUCACACUGACACUGACAUACGGGUCAGACUCCUACGGGAGGCAGCAGUCGGGAAUUUUGGGUCGAAUAGGGC
Molecule: ribosomal RNA, 369 nt
Filed under: uncultured bacterium
Lineage: Bacteria
Description: bacterial SSU rRNA
Rfam family: Bacterial small subunit ribosomal RNA
Source: RNAcentral